This 165-nucleotide microRNA precursor is filed under the name Linum usitatissimum (flax). Its description in RNAcentral is "miR172j stem-loop (lus-MIR172j)". Its record names the gene lus-MIR172j. Lineage: Eukaryota; Viridiplantae; Streptophyta; Magnoliopsida; Malpighiales; Linaceae. The record is from miRBase by way of RNAcentral.
UGAUUGCCGCUGCAGCAUCAUCAAGAUUCCCAAUACCCCCGCCCAUGAAUGAUUUGGGCAAAAGUGAAAAAAAAAAAGCUUAUAAAGAUAAGCUCUUUUAUUUUAACUUUGCCUUUGUGGGUUUGUGAAUCUUGAUGAUGCUCCAAUAGCAAGCAGUGGCUGUUA